This 443-nucleotide ribosomal RNA is filed under the name uncultured bacterium. Its description in RNAcentral is "partial 16S ribosomal RNA". It matches the Rfam family "Bacterial small subunit ribosomal RNA", at positions 338 to 795 of the family's 1533-position model. The record is from RNAcentral.
CCUACGGGAGGCUGCAGUGGGGGAUAUUGGACAAUGGGGGGAACCCUGAUCCAGCGACGCCGCGUGAGUGAAGAAGUAUUUCGGUAUGUAAAGCUCUGUCAGCAGGGAAGAAAGAAAUGACGGUACCUGACCAAGAAGCCCCGGCUAACUACGUGCCAGCAGCCGCGGUAAUACGUAGGGGGCAAGCGUUAUCCGGAAUUACUGGGUGUAAAGGGAGCGUAGACGGUUAAGUAAGUCUGGAGUGAAAGGCCGGGGCCCAACCCCGGGACUGCUCUGGAAACUAUUGAACUUGAGUGCAGGGGAGGUAAGCGGAAUUCCUAGUGUAGCGGUGAAAUGCGUAGAUAUUAGGAGGAACACCAGUGGCGAAGGCGGCUUACUGGACUGUAACUGACGUUGAGGCUCGAAAGCGUGGGGAGCAAACAGGAUUAGAUACCCCGGUAGUC